AGAGUUCCGGAGGCAGCACCUGCCUGAUGGGCUAUGUUUCCUCGGUGGUGACCCUCAUUUCUUCUCGCGAGGUUCCAACGCAGCCGUUAUGGUCUAGAGCGGCCGCCAGGGAACUCCACGUGGAGACCGCGCCGACGCAGGCGCCCUGGGGGCCUCGAAACUGUUCUGAGCAUGCUGGCUCUCAGGACAGCAGUGAGAGAUGAGGUGUGGGGUGGGGUCUGACACAGACGAACCCUUUCCGGCCGUGUUAGCGUCAUACUCGCUGCGCCUGACUCCAGCCGCAGGCCGAUUCUCUGGCUGCCUCUGCAGAGACUUCGUUAUCAAGCAAACGCCCUCUUCAUCACUUUUGUAAUAGGGACAUUAGCUGAGUAGUUGUUGCAUCUGGGAGGAGCUGAAGAAGACGCUGGUGUCACAGGGUUCCUUACAUACAUAUUUGGAAUAACCAGGACAGACUGGAAAGAAGGAAUAAAAACAAGCAAUAUGGUUACUACAAUCCUAUGCAAUUUCCCCUGGUACCAUCAGAGUGAAGGACAAAGAGCAUUCUGUAUCAUCAAAUGCUUGUUCCAGAGGAGUGUGAAUUUAUUUUGCAUUUUCUUUAAAAUGCCAGAAGUCUUUCCUUUUGAAUGAAGACCAAAAUGGUUAACGUGGCCAUUGAGGUAGGAUGACAGCUUCCAGCCCAACCUCAUUUUAUACCAUGUUGCUCCAUUCCUUAUAGAUGAAAAGCAAAGUGAAAGAUCUGUAAAAAACGAUGUUUGCCAAGUGUUGGAAGGUAGAAUAUUUCAGAAUGAAGCACCAUCAUCUAAGUGUGAAGAACAUAGAGCUAAACAAAGAUGCUGCCUCUUAGAGAUGUUCUAUUCCAGGCCUCUGCUUUCCAUCUGAGAGUGAAUAUUCAAAUCUAAACUAUUUUAUUAAUAUUAUUCUUUAAAUAUCUCUGCCAGAAUUUCCAUCAAAAGUCAGUCAUAUAUCUGAGUAGUUCAUUGAAUCUAUCACAUAAUUGUUGUUAAGAUGUGCCAUUAUUUUAUACAACACCAAGAAAGAAAAUUCAGCCACUUAACCUAUGAUACUGUAAGAUCUCAAAGAUGUUAAACAGUGGAAAAAAGUAAAGAGUUAAUGUAAUAUGUUAUGUCUUUAGAUGGAAGAUAGAGAGAUUUUCCUUUUUAGUCCUAAGACAGUAGGAGAAAUAAUGAAUAUUUUAUAAUUAGGCUGAAGUUUGAAUUCCAGUUCCUCUAUUGUGUGACCUUAGGAAGUGAUGUUUCUUUAAACUCUAUUUCUUCCUCUGUAAAAUGGGAUUAUACCCACCUUCGUUGGGUUGAGGUGAGGAAUACAUGAUUUACUGGAUGUAAUGCUUCUACCCUAAUCCCUGUCCCAUGGUGUACAUUUAAAAGAAAAUUAGUUUUCCUUCUCCUUAUUUUAAACCAAUGUAAUUCUCGUAAUAAUUUAAGUCAAGUUUCUCCUGUUUCAGUCCUCUAAAGCAUAGGCAUAGUUCUAAAUUAAGAUGCCUCAUAAGGAGGAGUCUUAGUUAUAGUAGAGCAUUGCUCUUUCUCACCAUCUCUGUCUCCUUACUUUGUCCUCCUUUAUUUCUUGCUGGUUAAAAUGUAGACUUCAAUGAUUAAUUCCCUGUAUUGCUUUGCACAUAGACACAAACAUUCCUUGCUUAUUGAAUAGUCAUACAUGAACACCAAAAGGAGCAACUCUCAUUUUCGCCUAUUAUGCAAAGUGCCUUCUUCCUAGAUAAUGCUAUAGAAUGUUGUUAAAUAUUGCCUCUCCAAUUUCUGUAAGAUUUUAAUCAUACCCUCUUUAAUUCAUUGGAUCUCUUCUGUCGCCAACUGCCUUGUUUAUUAAAUUAUCUCCUCAAAAGGAUUCUUUUAAUUCAUUUCUUCAGUUUGAAACUUUUGUGCAUCAAAGGAUACUGUAAAUAAAAUGCAAAUACAAUCCACAGAAGGGGAGAAAUAUUUGCAAAUCAUAUAUCUGAUAAGGGUUUAGUAUUUAGAAUACAGAAAGAAAGCUUACACCUCAACAAUCAGAAGAUAAUCCAAUUAAAAUUUGGCAAAAGAUUUGCAUAUAUAUUUCUCCAAAGAAAAUACACAUAUGGCCAAUCAGUAUGUGCAUGACAGGCAUCUGAAAAGAUAUUCAAUAUCAUUAGACUCUAGCGAAAUGCAGAUCACCGCAAUGAGAUACUGCUUCACAUUCACAAAGACGGCUAUCAUCAAAAAGAAAGUAACAAGUGUUGGUGAGGAUUUAGAGAAUUACAGCCCUCAUAAUUUGCUGGUGGGGACGUAAAAUGGUGUGGUUGCUUUGAAAAGUUGUUUUGCAAUUCCUCAAAAAGCUAAAUACAAAGUUACCAUAUGACCUAGCAAGUCGACUACUAGGUAUAUACCCAAGAGAACUGAAAAUAUAUGCUCGCACAGAAACUUAUAUACAAAUGUUCAUAGCCAUAAUAACCAAACAGUGGGAACAACUCACAUGUCUAUUAACUGAUGAAUGGAUACAGAAAAUGUGGUAUAUGCAUACACUGAAACAUUAUUCAUUCAUCAGAAAGAAUGAAGUACAUGCCACGAAAUGGAUGAACCUUGAAAACAUCAUGUUAAGUGCAAAAAUCCAGAUAGAAAAGGCCAUAUAUGUGUGUUACUCCAUUCAUAUGAAAUGUCCAGAAUAGACAAAUUCAUAGAAAUGGAAAGUAGAUUAGUGGUUGCCAGAGACUGGGGGAAGGAGAAAACGCGGAGUGACUGCUAAUGAGUCUAGGUUUCAUUUAGGGGUGGUGAAAAUAUUCUAGAAUUAUAUAGUGGUGAUGGUUGUACAACUUCCUAAUAUAUUUAAAAACAAAGGGGUAAUUUUUCAGAUUUUAUGAAUACCUAAUAGUUGUACAUGUUUAUGGCAUAUAUGUGAUAUUUUAGUACAAGCAUACAAUGUGUAAUGAUUAAAUCUGGGUAAUUAGG
Pan troglodytes (chimpanzee) is the source of this 2936-nucleotide long non-coding RNA. RefSeq lists it as uncharacterized. Lineage: Eukaryota; Metazoa; Chordata; Mammalia; Primates; Hominidae. The transcript has 5 exons. The record is from RefSeq and is a predicted model, not a curated record.